RNAcentral lists this long non-coding RNA (1155 nucleotides) under Phocoena sinus (vaquita). RNAcentral describes it as "lncRNA (ENSPSNG00000013447.1)". The record is from RNAcentral. Lineage: Eukaryota; Metazoa; Chordata; Mammalia; Artiodactyla; Phocoenidae.
UGAGGAACCUCAGCACAUCUAAAGUUGUUGGCAUUCUCAACAGAUGCUUGGGCCUGUCCUCUUUAAGAGAAGAGAAGGGCCUCUCUGUUGUGUUCUCUCGAGGACCCCUGGAGCAUGAGUGCAGGGCUUCCUGUUAUUGGGUUGGCCAAAAAGUUCAUUCGGGUUUUUCCCAUUUCAUGAUGUCUUGCCAGAGCCUAGAACAGUGCCUAGCACACGGUGGAUGCCCAGUGAAUGUUUGUUGAAUGACUGAAUGAGGUGCCUAUGGGACAUUUAGGAGACCAAUUCAGGGAGCAGCAGAAUAUUCAAGUCUAGAUUCACCUUGGAUUCAAUUUGGGAGUGAGUUUGGGGUAGUUAUCACAGAUACUUGUCUUUGAUGCCCAGAGAGGGGCCCAGGCGGGUCACAACAGGAGUAAGGCAGGUAGGAUGUCAUUUUCUUUCAACAUAGUUAUCCCUGGCUUAUUUUUUUAAAGAAUUUCUUGUUGCCUUUUUAAAAAUAUUUAUUUAAUUUAUUUUUUUUGGCUGUGUCGGGUCUUUAGUUGAGGCAUGCGGGGUCUUCAUUGAGGCACGCGGGAUCUUUCAUUGCGGCAUGGGCUCUUCGUUGUGGCGCACGGGCUUCUCUCCAGUUGUGGCGUGCAGGUUUUCUCUCUCUAGUUGUGGCAUGCGGGCUCCAGGGCGCGUGGGCUCUGUAGUUUGCGGCACACGGGCUCUCUCGUUGAGGCACAUGAGCUCAGUAGUUGUGGCACUCAGACUUAGUUGCCCCGUGGCAUGGGGGAUUUUAGUUCCCUGACCGGGGAUCAAACCCAUGUCCCCUGCAUUAGAAGGCGGAUUCUUUACCCCUGGACCACCAGGGAAGUCCCUAGACAUCCUUGGCAUAUUAAAUGCAGAGUAUCUUUCACUUCCACAAAGAAAUAUACUCCCUCCCACUUCUCUUGAACCAUGAAGCUCUCUCAGUCCAUCCUUGGUUUCCAUGGAGAGGGGUGGAUGGUGAGUGCUGCUGGAAGCCGUCUGUGGGGGUACUUCUGGGGGCAGCCGUGUGGGAAUGCUGAGCUGUAGCCAGAUCUGCCAGUUUACCAACAGCGUCCAGAGAUUCAGACUUCUAUGUGAAAUUUGGUUUUUCAAUGUUGGCAACUAAGUUAGAUUUUUUAAAAAUCCUAU